RNAcentral lists this ribosomal RNA (582 nucleotides) under Trichoderma asperellum. RNAcentral describes it as "eukaryotic LSU rRNA". The stretch from base 226 to 379 matches the Rfam family "5.8S ribosomal RNA". The record is from RNAcentral. Lineage: Eukaryota; Fungi; Ascomycota; Sordariomycetes; Hypocreales; Hypocreaceae.
GUAACAAGGUNUNCGUUGGUGAACCAGCGGAGGGAUCAUUACCGAGUUUACAACUCCCAAACCCAAUGUGAACGUUACCAAACUGUUGCCUCGGCGGGGUCACGCCCCGGGUGCGUCGCAGCCCCGGAACCAGGCGCCCGCCGGAGGAACCAACCAAACUCUUUCUGUAGUCCCCUCGCGGACGUUAUUUCUUACAGCUCUGAGCAAAAAUUCAAAAUGAAUCAAAACUUUCAACAACGGAUCUCUUGGUUCUGGCAUCGAUGAAAAACGCAGCGAAAUGCGAUAAGUAAUGUGAAUUGCAGAAUUCAGUGAAUCAUCAAAUCUUUGAACGCACAUUGCGCCCGCCAGUAUUCUGGCGGGCAUGCCUGUCCGAGCGUCAUUUCAACCCUCGAACCCCUCCGGGGGAUCGGCGUUGGGGAUCGGGACCCCUCACACGGGUGCCGGCCCCUAAAUACAGUGGCGGUCUCGCCGCAGCCUCUCCUGCGCAGUAGUUUGCACAACUCGCACCGGGAGCGCGGCGCGUCCACGUCCGUAAAACACCCAACUUUCUGAAAUGUUGACCUCGGAUCAGGUAGGAAUACC